GAAGACAUUAUUUGAAUGAACAGCCCCGACCUCAAGGCACAUCUCAGCUGGCUUGCCAGCACUUCUGCAACCUCGUGUGGAAGAGCGGUCCAAACUUCAUGGAAACUAACCAAUGACCUUACCUCUCUCAUAAGGGUGUGAGGACUGCUCACCUAUCAGGAAACCACAAGAUUUCAAAACUACCAUGAGGAGAACCAGAUCACAUGCCACUGAAAAGUGCGCCCUGGAAGUUGGCACAACCACCUCCUGGAUGACCUCACUCCUGGCCAGGAGGGCCUCUGUGAAACUCUAGGCCCAGCAGUGCUUGACUUGACAUGCUGGGUCUGGGUUAGCCAGAGGCACAGCCUCCAGAGGCAUGGCGACAAUGAGGGUCUGCUCUUUGAGGAGAUUGGAGAGCUGGCACCGUUCUCCAAGGGACUACAUGGGAACAGCUUCUGCACAGAUCUUGGUAUCUCCUAAUUCUCAUGCCAGGGUCCCCUGAAGCCAAGGCACACCUUGCUGCAUGGAGGCCCAUCCUGAACAUCACAGUGAGCAUGAAGGAUGGAGGAUGUCAACUACAAGGCCCUUCAUUCACACGUCCCUUCCCACCCCAAUCCCACCCUCCAAUAAGAGCUUUGGUAGCCAGGCUGGCAGAUCACAUUUCCCCAGUGCUAGAGCUGAGAGAAGCAAGCUAAGACAAAACAUCUUGAGAAGAACUUAAAUAAUAGCCAGAGGGAUGCCAGAGCAAAAGCUAAGGAAAUUACAGGUAGCCAGAAACUAUAGAAAAGAGAGGAAAGGGAGAGGAUGUGAAAUGUCAGAGGAGAGGCAGAAUCUUACAAAUGUCCCAAGCAGAGAAAGGAGGUGUCACUUUCUUGGGUGUGUCUGACCUGGUUGUGGGCAGACAGGAGAGAAGGAGCUAAUGUCACCAAGCUGGCCCCAACACCUCCUUCCUCCAUGCAAAUGGAAGACUGAAAUCAGACUGGUCUGCAAUAGGCCACCCAGAGGCUUGGCAGUUUGAAAAAGUAGAUCUGAUUGCUAAAUGUGGAACUGAGUAUUAUACAAUCUGAGCUGGUCCAGUGAAAUCAGCACUUCAAUAUUCACGAGGGAGGUGUCUACCACCCUAGAGGAAAGUCUUAAUUGUGCAAAGAGGCAGAUGUGAGAGACCCAGAGUUGGGCCACCUUGUCCUAGGCCAUUUCCCCACAUUUCAACUUUUAGCAUGGGCUCUCCCACCACCCUCCAUGAGAAAAGGCACCUCCUUCCUCCCCUCAUCCCACCCCUUCCCAAUGCACUGCAUAGGUGAGGGAGGCAACAGAGCCAUGCCCAGUCCUAGAACAGAAAUGUGGACCAAGCAUACCGCAUUCAAACCCUGGAUGCGCACUAGUGAAAGAUUCAUUGAUUGUUUGUUGAAGGUGCAGCCAGAGGACAGGCCCAGGGGCCACUCCCCAGGCCAGCUGUGCCAGGCAGCACCUGCUGCCACACCACUGUCUUCUGCUCCAGCCCCUCUGGAGCCUAUGUCUUGUUCAUUGUUAUGGAAGCUCUUUCAUGCCACAGACAAAGAACCUUAACAAUCACAACUGACUUCUUUGUUAAUGGCAGUUUAUUGUUGUUAAAUUAAUAUUCCGGUUCUCACAUGAUCAAAUUCUCUGACUAGAAUCCAAGAAUAUAUUAUAAUCUAUAUUUUCUCAGAACCAGAGAAGAAAAGGUAGGAGAAUAAUUCUUAAUAGCAGGUCAACUUCUUCUCUGUCAAAGAACUCACAUGAUGGUGAUUUCCAGUGGACAGAGAAUUAAACAGGACCCAGGUGUCCAAGUGAAGCUCUGCAGGUAGAACCCCAGUGCCGAAGUCCACAUGGACACGGAGCCACCUAGCACUGGCAGCCGCCCAUUCUCUGGCAGGAAAUGAAGGAGAGAAGACCAAAGGCAAGACUUCUUCCAGAGACUCCAGCAAGCCACUGUACCAACUAUGCCUUAUUCAAAUGGUGUGCAGUAUAUUCUUCAUUAUAAUAAAAGGUCUACCCAUACAAUCACCCAGAGAGGUAACUAUUUUUACUAGUUGACAAAAAAAAGAGUAAGAAAGUUGAAAUCAUAAAUUCAGUUAAUAAAAUGUAUGACCUAGAUUCUAUAGCACAUGCUAGAAGGGGGAUCAAAAAUCUAGAUCCACGCUAGCAGCCAGUAAAAAAAGAGAGGCACAAUCAGUUAACAGGAUCCGCAGAUCAGUAUGGUAAAAUCAAAUCAAUUGCCUAGGAGAAGCAUAAUUAUUCCGGAGCAAGGGAGAAACUUCACGUUUUCAUAGACAGAUUUUGUGUGAUGGGAUCAGCAAUAUCCAUGACACCCUUAUAGUAAACAGAGCCCAGUAGAACUCAUUACUUUUGUGUGAUGUUCUCAGAAUAGUUCAGAGGCUAGUGGACAAUAUGGGCCAAAGGUGAAAGCAAUUCCAUGGAGACUAAUAUAAUAUGGUCCAGGCACAGUGCUGUAAAUACACAGCAAGCACCUUGUGCUCAACAUGUGCCAGGCACUGUUCAGAGCACUUUGACAUAAUGUUUGAGUUUCUUACAAAAUGUUUCUAUUGAGUAAUUAAAAUAUAUUUGAAAAUCUAGAAGCACUGUUAGAGGACCUAGAACAGUGGUUCCUCAUAUUUGCCCCUCCUAUAACAGAUUCGAGGAGCCAACUCCUUUCCUAGCAGGCAUACUGGUCCAUACAGCAGUGGUGUGCAUGGCAGACAGGUCCCUCCCCCACCCCAAUCACUGUUCUAGAGGAACAGUGCAUCUUCCUCUUCUACAGGUCCUUCAAAAUCACCGUUCUCCAGCAAGCUUUUUAAAGGUAAACAGCAGUGAAAGAUAAUGUUCCAGAUGGAAACCCACAGUAUCACUAUCCUUUGCUUUUGAUGAAGUCAGAGCCAUGUGUUUUCAUGAUCUAUAUAGGACUAGGAUGUUAAAAAAAACUGCGUUCUUCAGAAGGGCAUAGGCCAGGAUCAAAUGCCACCUCUGCCUGGAGAAAAACUUGGAAAGCAUCUGAGAACAGGGCCAAGAAGAGGAUUGUCUUGCUGAAUGCUAAUACUCAUCAGCCUAAGCAUUUGUCCCUGACUCCCACCUAGUGGCUUCUUCCAGCACUGCACAGGGACAAAGAACCACCACUGAUGCCACCUGAGCCCGGCCCAGGAGCCCCUUGGGAGCUGAGCGCAGAAAGAAAGCACGGACACACCUACUCCUUUCUCAUCUCUCACUCAAGUUCACACCUGUCACAGGGGAGGCAAAGUCCUGGCCAACAGCACUCCUACUUCUGCCAACUGUGCUGGCCCAGCUGUGCUUUAGCUCUGCCAGGACCCAGAAGAAGAGGAACCAGCCCUACCACAAAGAAACAGCUACCCAAUAGGAGGCACUAGGACUAGGAGUGCCCUUUUCAUGUAAGACAUAGAGAGCCCAGGACUAGUCUGCUAUUUGUCCUAUUCUAACUAUGGACCACUCCUCCACAUCUACCCCUGCUUCUCAGCAGCCCAUUCUUCUGAUGGACCACAGAUGCUCCAGUGCCAGAAGAUCUGCAGUCCCAGAUGAGCAGCAGCAGUACAAGAUACAUUUCCCACUAUGUAAUCCCUCCCCUCUGCUAACAGUUGAUUCACUCUGGGGUAGACACUGGACCUAAGGUGUGCAUCCAUAGCUUGUGAAUAAAUUAAAAGUCUUUAAUGUCUAUUUCUUUUACACUUAACGCUUCUUCAUUGAUCUGGAGGACUUCGCUCAAAAAUAAUUAACUGGGUCAAUCAGAUCCUUUUCCUUAGAAACUUGAGUUUAAAAAGAAAACAUAUUGAGAAAACAUGGAAAGAAUUUGUCAGCCAACAAGAGUAAACUCAAACCUAACAGAAGUCUGUGGCAGUCACUCUGAGCUGUCUUCCUGAGGGCCACUUUCCCCCACUCUAUCAUCAUUCUUUUCUGACAGAGGCCACCUCCCUCUAUGGCAGGUGGAAGUGCCAAUACUUGCUUUCCCAGCCUCCCUUGCAGCUAGGGUAUGCACAGGUGAACAAAUUCUGGCCACUGCAGCUAAAUGGGAAGUCUGCUAGGGGGUUGCAGAGAGUUUCCCUCCUGAUUAAAAACAACAAAAACAUACUAAAGAAAUGAUUCUCUACCUCUGCACACAGUUGUAUAGUUGUGUCUUGUAAGGACAUGUUGCCUGCAGUUCUAGUGGCCAUCUUGCAACUGUUAUGGGAUGUGCCUGAGCAAAAACCACCCCUUGAGGAUGGCAAAGAAAAAAGAUGGGAAGAACCAGUACCCAUGAGGUCACUCAGAGCCACUUAUUUAACCCUGGGACUGUCUGUCUUCUGGACAUCUUGUUAGUGGUCUAUCUUGUUAUUGUUUACAUCAUUUUACUGGAAAAAGUAUCCCAACUGAUAUAGGUGUCACGAGGCAGAGUUGGACCAUGUCAGGCCAGUGUCAUGGCCAAGCAGGAAUUCUAGGUGUGAACAAUGCCAAUGUGUCUACAGAGGAGAAGGGAGCAAAUAUGCAAGGGAUGCACAGACAUCAUGCAUGAGAAGGCGCUGGGCAGUGCUGCCUAAUCCUUCAAACCAUCUUACUAGUUCCAACUCCAAUCCUAACCCACAUGGGACUUUAAAAAAAUAAUUCAACUGAGUCUCCAGGGUUGAACGCAGCGCUUCUUAAACUUUAAUGUGCUUACGAGUCACCUGGAGAUGGUUCAGCAAGUGUGAGAUGGGAGCCCAUAGUCUGCAUUUUUCACAAGCUACGAGGGGAUAAGAAAGCUGCUGAGCCACAGACCAAAAUUUGAGCAGCAACAACUUCUAACUAAAAGUGUCAAUCUAAAGCACUUGAUGAGUUUGCUCACCAGUCUGAAUUCUAUUCCCAUACAGAUUAAGACCUUGUGUGGAAUGUGGAUGUGCUGAUCAUAAAAUGACUUUAGGUCUGCAAGAUCUAAAACACAGACAGGCUAUCUCUGUCCAGAAUAAAAACCUUAACAUGCAGCCCUUACAACUUGGAAUGUUUAUAUGAACUUCUGACCCCCUAAAAGUACUUGCUUCGCCAUGCAUAGGUUAGUGAUGGCCAUAAUUACUCUAGAAGAUUUAUGAAUGCAAUCACUUUUAGGGAAAUCUCUUCAAAGGAAGGCAUUCCCUAAACCAUUGUAAAUAACCCCAAGACAAAACUGCAAAUCUGAAUGCAAGCUGUUUUCUACCAAUGCAUCUUGAAAAAACCAACAACAAUGUCAACUGCCUUUGGAUCAAAAAUAUUUUUAAUAAAUUUCCAAAAACUGUUUUAAAAGUUAGAUUCAUUGUUUAUACCAAAUGCUAAAAAAUAUUGUUGAUGGAUUGGAGUUAACCAUAAAAUAAAAAUCAAACCAUAAACUUACUAGAGGAAGAUACAGGUGAACAGUUAUCUGUUCUGAGGUUGGGAAAGGCGUUGCUAGGGCCAAAAGGAAAACAAGAAACCAAAAUAGGAAAGACUGAUAGAGUCAAGUACAGUUGUUUAAAAUUCUGUGUCUCAGAAAGCACCUAAACGUUAUUUAAAAACAGAGUGAGGAAAAUAUAUGCUACAAAUAAAGCAAACGGCUAAUAAAAGGUCAUUCAAAUAGAUAAGAAAAACACUAAAAUCCUAAUAGAAAACAACAGCAUAGACUACGAAUAGACUAGAGUGGGAGAGGUGCAUCCAAGAGGCUCAAGGUGAUUUCUGGGUGUACAGGGAAAAAUAUGGGAACUAUUUUUUAACCUAUCCUUUAAAACUCUAUUUUGGUGAACAGUGGAUACCCUAAAUACCCUGACUGACUUGAUCACUAUGUGUUAUAUACAUGUAAGGAAAUUUCACAUGUACCCCAC
Molecule: long non-coding RNA, 5786 nt
Filed under: Homo sapiens (human)
Lineage: Eukaryota; Metazoa; Chordata; Mammalia; Primates; Hominidae
Description: HSALNT0171649
Source: RNAcentral